GACGAACGCUGGCGGCGUGCUUAACACAUGCAAGUCGAACGGAGAGGCCCGGCGUUUGUUGGUUUCUCGAGUGGCGAAAAGGGGAGUAACACGUGAGUAACCUGCCCUUUAGUGUGGGGUAAAUUCAUGGAACUGGGCCUAAUACCGGAUAGAAGCUCCCGCUCCAGGGUGGGGGUGGGAAAGAUUCGUCGGUUGGGUAUGGACUCGCGGCUUAUCAGCUUGUUUGGUGGGUGGUGUAUUACCAAGGCAUGGACGGGUAGGCGGGCUGAGAGGGUGACCUGCCACACUGGGACUGAACUACGGCACAGCCUCGUACGGGAGGCAGCAGUGGGGUAUAUUGUACAAUGGGCGGAAGCAUGCUGUAGUAACGCCGCGUGCCGUAUGAGGGCAUGCGGGUUGUAUUCCGCUUUCGUCUGUGACGAAGCGUGAGUGACGGUAAUGGGUAAAGAAGCACCGGCUAACUACGUG
RNAcentral lists this ribosomal RNA (468 nucleotides) under uncultured bacterium. RNAcentral describes it as "partial 16S ribosomal RNA". It matches the Rfam family "Bacterial small subunit ribosomal RNA", at positions 28 to 507 of the family's 1533-position model. The record is from RNAcentral.